Long non-coding RNA from Venturia canescens, 606 nucleotides. RefSeq lists it as uncharacterized. NCBI's taxonomy places the organism in Eukaryota, Metazoa, Arthropoda, Insecta, Hymenoptera, Ichneumonidae. The record is from RefSeq and is a predicted model, not a curated record. The transcript has 4 exons.
GAGAAUUCCAACAUGGAUUUUAAUGAAAACUCGCAAAAGGUGGCAAACUCUUUGAUCUUUUAAGGGAUUCUUUAUUUAUCGAUUUUUUGAAAAAUUUUUCGAUUUUUGCUCGGAGCUGCAUUUCUGAAGGAAAGUUCAGUUCGCUUCAGUUCGUGAGCUCGAUUCGCACGGAAAAAUUUAAGGUUUCCAUUGUAUAAACCACACGAAAAGUGUACAGAAAUAGAAAAAAAAUUGGAAAAAACUAGCAGAAAAUAAUCUUCGUACCUCCAAAUAAAUAAUCAAAAAAUUGCUAUUGAAAAACGAGUUUUUCGAUCCUCAAAAUAGUUUGCCAAGGGCAGUGUCCAUCCAGUAGCAACGAUGAUCACAGCAGCGAGGGAAACGCAGUGAAAAAAUUCGUUUCUCAUUCGAGCCAGUCUUUGGUGUCGAUCCAUUGGAGUAUCACAUCUCGCUUUUCGUCUACUUUGUAAAUUUCUCACCGCGGAUAAGUUUCGGUAUUGUUAAGCGGCCCAAAACUUCUACCUGGCAGGAUGAUGGCCUGACAGAGGUCAUGAUCCCGACAGCAAGCAUCGGUUUGCCUGAAGAGUCCGAGGUCGUUUACGUCCUUUG